This 421-nucleotide ribosomal RNA is filed under the name uncultured bacterium. RNAcentral describes it as "bacterial SSU rRNA". It matches the Rfam family "Bacterial small subunit ribosomal RNA", at positions 8 to 431 of the family's 1533-position model. The record is from RNAcentral.
AGAGUUUGAUCCUGGCUCAGAUUGAACGCUGGCGGCAUGCCUUACACAUGCAAGUCGAACGGCAGCACGGGAGCAAUCCUGGUGGCGAGUGGCGAACGGGUGAGUAAUAUAUCGGAACGUGCCCAGUCGUGGGGGAUAACGUAGAGAAAUUUACGCUGAUACCGCAUACGAUCUAAGGAUGAAAGCGGGGGACCGUAAGGCCUCGCGCGAUUGGAGCGGCUGAUAUCAGAUUAGGUUGUUGGUGAGGUAAAAGCUCACCAAGCCGACGAUCUGUAGCUGGUUUGAGAGAACGACCAGCCACACUGGGACUGAGACACGGCCCAGACUCCUACGGGAGGCAGCAGUGGGGAAUUUUGGACAAUGGGCGAAAGCCUGAUCCAGCAAUGCCGCGUGCAGGAAGAAGGCCUUCGGGUUGUAAACU